Non-coding RNA from Picea glauca (white spruce), 492 nucleotides. Lineage: Eukaryota; Viridiplantae; Streptophyta; Pinopsida; Pinales; Pinaceae. The record is from Rfam.
UUUCCUUUGAUGUGUUGCUUGAGAUAAUUGGAGAUCACAUAAGAUUUUUAUAGCAUAAAUAAAAUGAUUAGGAGCAUUAUAAGCAUAACUCCAUCAACCUAUUCUCACAUUUUAAAUAGGUAAUAUGGUGUAGCUUCUCCAUUGAGUCACUCCAUGGAAUCAUGAGUUCCAAGUGGGUAAUUUUUUGUAAGAAAAAAUAGCAAUGCAAGAUGAAACAAAAUUUUAAUUACAAUGCUAAAUUGUGCCUUGACCCAAAUCCUACAAAGAGUGUUAAUUGAUUCAGAUGGUAUGAAAGUUGUCAUGGAAGUCAAAAUUGAUUAAGUAGUGUUUAUAAACAACUCACCCACUAAAUCAACUAGCCCCAAAAAUGUAUGGCACUAAAUUGCAUCACCUGUAUUCAAUUAUUUGAGAAAUGACAAGAUUGAAUGAGUAGGAGGAUGUAAGGUCCAUUAAGAAACCUUUGGUCAUAAGAUAUGGGUGAAUAUUAUAGAA